UGCUCUAUUCACCAGGCUGAUGGAGGAGGCCAGUCUGGACGAAAGAAGUAGUUCGCGUGGGAGUCUGGAAUGCGAACGUCCAUUGUACAUGCCGAGCGUCUGACACCCCUCGCGGUCACAGUCUGAAACCUGGGAGUGAAGGAAAGGGGGGAAUCUGCCGACCCCAGAUUGGAAGUUUCCCUUUUGUUCCAGAGGCGCUGGGGAGUCAUGGAAGGACCAGGUCUAGGACUUCUGGAGUCUUCUUCCCUUCACCCUCAUGUCCAGAUCAUCAGCAGGUCCUGUCAUUGGCACCCCGAGUCCUGUCUGAGCCGGUCCGGUUUUCCCUUUACUUCUGCCCCAGCGCAGCCUCUGUCCUCCUGCCCAGCGGGUCCCCGUCUUCCAUCUUCCAUUGUUCGUGUCCCCGGUGCCUGCCUCGCCCCAAACUGGGCUAAAAAUCCCUGUGUCUUCUCACUCACAGAAUAAAAAAACGGCUUCCUCUGACUUGGAGAGGCCUCUGCCCACACAUGCUCUCACCUCCCAGCUCAUCUUACUCUCGGUUCGCCCCUUGGCCCCCCGAGCCCUAGCUGCUCAGCCGUGCCACUUCUCAUUUCCAGUGUGGGGUCAGCAUGUGCCGUUACCUCUGCCGGGGAUGCUCGUCCCCUGCCGUCACUUUGAUGUCCCCUGCUCACCCCUGCCUCGGCAGGCGGUGUCCCUCAGCACUCUGAUGGCUGACGUUGUCCUUGUCUGUUGCUUGUCUCCCUUAGUGGAAUAGACUUGCCGGGAGGGGAGGGACCUUGCUGUCCUAUUCAUGGCUGUGUCUGGUGCUUCGAGCAGGCCUGGCACAUGGGGAUUGCUCAAUAAAUAGAUGAUGGAGUGAUACAGAAUGAGGAGCAAAGAAGGUGGCACAGAGGUGAUGGGCAUGGGGACUGAUGAUGAUGCUCCCGGUGUAGGACCUGUUGCAUUUGAGGUUUACCAAGAUUCAAAACACGAAGCUGACCAUGAAGCGGGACGGCAUCAGGUCAGUGAGGUACCAGGUCUUGGAGGUGUCUCGGCAGCCGCUCUUCACCAAUAUCACAGUGGACAUUGGGCGGCCCCCCUCAUGGCCCCCUCGGGGCUGACACCAGUGGACAAAGGCUCCCAGUGCCAAGGAUUGCCUGCCAGAGGACUGACCUACAGCCUGGCUGGCGGCUGCUCUGUGGCGGAUCCCCCAGGACUGAGACUGCGGGCUCUGUUUUCUGAGGGUCUUCAAUAGGCCCCCCCAGCUACACCUGGAAAUUUCAGGACCUACUCUGGGGGGCUUCCAUCCUGGGCAGGCCCCUCAAGUGUGGCCCUCCCUGGGGUCACCCCUUCUUCCUGCUCCUCCUUCCCCAGGCCAGCCCCCUUCACUGUCAGGGCUGGGCCAGCCCCUGCACUGCCUCACCGAGUGGCCUGGGCCAGGUCACUCCACCUCUCUGUGCCUCAGUUUCCCCCCUCCUUGAGUCCCCUAGGGCCUGGAAGAGCGGGAGGUAUGACUAGGGGGCAGUGUCGCUUCCAGGGGGACUUCUCAGACCUGGGGAUCCCCCAUGCUUCCAGGGGAGGGGAAACCUUUUACAUUCAACAUUGUGGGGGGCAAACGCUGGUGCGCCCCCUGCUGAGGAGCAGCCCCGGGAGGGGACCAGAGAGGGUGCUGUGUGGCUGCCUGGGACCUUGGGGAUGGGCUUUGCAUGGGGGGUGGGUGGGGCUUGGAUCAGGUGGGUUCCUGCCCCCCGCCCCUCAGAAAGAAGGCAGUAGCCCCAGGGCCGGCUCGUGUUUGUACAUUGCACAGAAACUUGUGUGGGUGCUUUAGUAAAAAAACGUGAAUGGAGCAGUCCCUUUGUCUCUUGGGGGAUGGGGAUCUGGAGCCCUAAACCCAGGCCCUGCGUGUGUGGUGGGAGGAGGCCUGGCUCGACCUAGCGGUCCGGCCGGGCCGUCCUGUUCCUCCAAGAACAGCGCUUCGCUAGUCCGCCAGCUGGAAGGGGGAAAGUUUACGCUGUCGCUGCCUCGCGGCCAGAAGAGCCAAAGAAGUAAUCACCCCGUGGGCUCAGAUUUCUCAGUGCUUUCACCUGCCCUGAAAGCGAAAGGCGCCCAGGGAUGGAAGGAACGUGGGGUCAGGGCGGGGCGGCUGGUUGACUCCAAAACCACCUACCA
RNAcentral lists this long non-coding RNA (2145 nucleotides) under Sus scrofa (pig). RNAcentral describes it as "lncRNA (ENSSSCG00060016241.1)". Lineage: Eukaryota; Metazoa; Chordata; Mammalia; Artiodactyla; Suidae. The record is from RNAcentral.